CACAUUUACAAACAGAUCAACUGUUUUUAAUAGAAAAUACAUUAAUGAGAUAUUAAAGAGCUGUGUUCUUAUAUAUAACUUUUGAAUUUGUGUACUUUGUGAAACUCAAAGGAGUACACCAUGGUUGUUUUGUUUCUUUUUAGCUUCUCUGAAGCCCAGGCACUCCACAGUUUAUGGGUGGGGGUCAACAAACCAGAGUACAGAAGUAGAGUACUUACAAAAUUCUUAUACGUAGCAACCUUUCAUAAAGUAUACAAAUCCAAAGGAACCCAGUCUCAGGGUAUAGGUUUCAGUUCAUUGUGCAGAAAUGAGAAUUCAUUCUCCCACAUAGUCUCUGUCAUGGACUCUAAAACUAGCUAAUGCACAUCAGUUUCUCCAUGGUAUGUCCAAACUCUGUUCUGUACUCGCCCGGUUACAGGCCCCGAGGAUAAAAAGAUGAAGACAUGUACCCAGAUCCCGACCUACAGUUUUGUAAAAGGUUUUGGGUGCCUUCCCAUCUUGUUGACAGCCCACUCAUUACGAGUCCCACAGCACUCUGAUGCCCACCUCCAUGCCUAAUGACCUCUGAGCUCCACCCCUACCCGAUGUCCAUGUCCAUGUCCAUAUCCAGAUUCACCUGGUAAAGUAGUUAAAUCACGGCCACACCUUCCUGGGAUAUUUGCAGUUUUCAAAAAAGACAUUGCUUGAUGCAAAGGAGUCUGUAAAGAGUAGGCCGUAAAGCCGGGCAUAGUGUUGCUUGCCUGUAAUCCCAGCACUCUGGGAGGCCAAGGCAAGAGGCUUCCGAGUCUGAGGCCAGCCUAGGCAAUUUAGCAAGAAAAUGCCCCCAAAUUUAAAAAAAAAAAAAAAAGGCUGGGGAUAUAGCUUGGUGCAAAGACCCUGGGUUCAAUCCCCAUAACUGGAAAAAAUAGAAAGAGUGGGACUUCCACUGACUCUUUAGGGGAAAGGGUGGUAAUUUGUAACAUGUGGUAGACAGUGUCCCCUCCAAGUGUGAAAGUCCUCCACACUGUAUUUUGGUAAAAUAUGCUUCAUACAACAAGCAUGAAAGCUCCGAGUGUAAGACUCCCUGCCUGAGCAGCCCAGCCAAGGCCAUGCACUCUUGGCAGAGCUCUCCCUGCCAUGAGGAAGGGUGCAGGUUUGGACAGUGGAGGGCUAAGAAAUUCUUCACGGAGCUUUGCCUGGCUUCUUUGUCUCCCAGUUGGCUUUUAAAGCUGAUCGGGCUGCCUCUGCACACCGUCUUACUAUCCUUCUCCCUUCUUACGUUUUAGCCUUCUGCACAGACAGAACGAGAACAUCUUUUCCCAAUUUUAGGCUAUUUAAUGAUGACCAAUAAGGACCCAGGCAGAUGCUAACAUGUAAAACAGCUCAGAUUAAAGUAUUUUAAGUCAAACGUGACAAUAAUAUUAAUCCAAUUCAAAAGUACCUUUGACUCGAGACAUGCUGGUGUGAUGACUGCCAGACUUUCCGUCCUUGGUGUCCUUAGAAGGCGUACACAGAGUCACGGGAGGGAGUGAAACUGCCUUUACUGUGGGAAGGCAGUGCAGCUACAUAACAGACAUCUCGGCCUCCCCAGCCCACCACAGUACUGCUUACAUUGAGGAACAUUUUCUUUCUCGGGAAGGAAAAUUCAGCAAGGUCACUCCCAUCAAAGCAGAAUGAAGACCUGAUAACAGCAAGCUGUGACAAACAGCGUGUCCCGAAGUGUAGACCCUCACCUAUAUCAUAUUUAGUUUUUACAGUGACUUUGGGAAACACCUCUCGUGUUUCUCAUUUUUUCAGAUGAGAACACAGACCCGGAGAGGUUCAGGCAUUUGCCUAAGAUCACAAGUAAAAGGCAAAGCUGGUUGCACAAGAAGUGUUGCUGGACCAAAGGCAAGACUUUCUCUAACCCAAGAUCUAAGUGCACAGAGUAUGAAUGUAAGAGAAAGAAUCUCUCAAGGAAGUAGACAGUGAAAAUAACAUUUGCUUGAUCUGAGUUAUGUGGAGUUUUUAAAAAAUAAGAUUAAAAAUGUAUCUGCACAUAGAAAGUCAUAUACAACACAUUCUCAGUAUUUGAAAAUAAAGGACAUUAAAAUCUAAAUUUUAACCAUAAGGGAAGCAUUUAGUGUUACUUUAGAAAAUUCACUGAUGACAGAAUACUACUAUUCAUGGCCAGCUAUGAAUGCAGAAAAACAGGGCAGUCUGUGUCUGGAAUGGCAUGCAUAAUUUGUAAACCUUUCCAAACACUAAUAAAACAUUAAUCAACUCAGAAUGCAGUGCUCUGUACCCAACAGUGCCUCUUUACUUGCUUCUCUGGGAAGUGCUAAAUUUGUAGGUCAUCAUCAAAGUUUGGGGAUAUGCAAUAUAAAUAACCAUUUUUUUCAAAAUGCACAUUCUGUGGAGAGGAAGUGACAAGGUGGUCAAGAUUGUUUCAAGAUCCAGGUACUGACGGCAUCAGGACAAUAUCCAUAGCACCCAUGUGCCAUAAUACUGCAACAUUUCCAGAGGCUCUGCACACAAGGAAACCAACCCCCGAGUCCCGCAGUGACUGCAGACAAACCUUACAUGUGCUUGGGUACCACUUGGGUCAGCCCAGCAAGAUCUCAUGUGGCCUUAGAGAAGCAAAAAGAACAUUUUCCAGCACUUUUUAUUGAAAACAUAAUCUUGAUAUUGGGAAGGAUUUAUAAUGUUAAAAACUUGAUUUGUGCACUGGGAAUGUAGCUCAUUAUCACUGAGUACUUGCCUAACAUGCAUGAGGCCCUGGGUUCAAUCCCCAGUACUGCAAAAAGAAAAAAAAGAUUUAUAAUUAUAUCAUCUCAAAAGAAAACUGUUCUCUUUAUUCACUAGUGGAGCAAUCUAGAAAAAUCCAUUUGUUUGGGAGCUCACCUUCCUCUGGCCAUAGUAUAGUGUUUGUGCUUAAUGUAGAUGUAACUAAUAACCACAUUAAGAUUUUGGAAUAGAAUACCAUUUAAAUUUCCAAAACAUAAAUAUAUUACUUUAGGGAAGACAAAUAAAAACCACCCCAUGAUUGUCUAGAAGAAAAUUCAGUUGAGAAUAUUGCUCAAAAUCUUUACAAACAGUAUCACUGCUUAUAAAUUGAAGAUAAACCACUACCACACCACGAGCACCCUACAAAACCUUUUCCCUAUAUCUUUGUGUAGUAAUGUAAAGUUUCCAGGGACCAGCUGACCAUCUUAGUGACAAAAGUGCGCUCAACUCCUGGUGGGUCCCACUCAUCCUCCUUUCAACCACAAAAAUCAAUUGCACUGUUAGUUCUUGUCCUGUUAGUUUAACCAGUGGUUGUCUAGUUUCUUUGGUCUUAAAACAGUGGAUUCUUAAAACAGUGGAUUCUCAAGCUUUAGCACGUAUCAGAAUCACCUGGGGUGGGGGUAUUAAAACAGACUGCUGGGGUCAUGCCCAGGGUUUCUGAUUUUAUAGACCUGGAAAUUUGCAUUUUUAACAAGUUUUCAGAUGAGGCCAGUGCUGCUGCUGUGGAAAUCAGUCUUUGAGAACCACUCCCUUUGAAAAAUGUCCAGCUUCUACCUUUCAGAUCAGCCUGACUUAUCAAGCACUAGAGAAAAACUGAACUUGCCCUGGGGCAGACAAUUUGAGAUUGGAUUACCUGUAACAUUCCUGUUCGAUCUUCCCAGUGUCCAGUUUUAUUGUAUAAACGAUGGGUUUUUACAUGCUAGAAGACAAUGAAUGUAUAAGUUCUAUGGAACAGUGAGAUAAGUCUAAGCUUCUCGUCUUUGUAUUUAGAAACAUUGAUUCUAUAAAUGAUUGUAUCAUGUUGACCCUUUGACUUGUACCGAAGGUGAUUUUAAAUUAGGCAAAACUGGAGAAGAUGACUGCUUCUGGUCGUUCUGGUUUUGCUUCCAUUGAAACCAGGUGGUAGAAUAUCCAGGUCUCUGUAAGCAAGCCUGCAAGUGUAUUUUGUGUAUAUUUUAUCUGAGGUGAAAAAUGAAGAUUCUAAAGAGAAAAUAUUUUAAAAGAUACUGUAUUUAUG
Heterocephalus glaber (naked mole-rat) is the source of this 3982-nucleotide long non-coding RNA. Lineage: Eukaryota; Metazoa; Chordata; Mammalia; Rodentia; Bathyergidae. The record is from Ensembl.